RNAcentral lists this ribosomal RNA (476 nucleotides) under uncultured bacterium. RNAcentral's name for it is "SSU rRNA". It matches the Rfam family "Bacterial small subunit ribosomal RNA", at positions 26 to 518 of the family's 1533-position model. The record is from RNAcentral.
AGGACGAACGCUGGCGGCGUGCUUAACACAUGCAAGUCGAGCGGAAAGGCCCUUCGGGGUACUCGAGCGGCGAACGGGUGAGUAACACGUGAGUAAUCUGCCCCUAGCUCUGGGAUAGCUCCGGGAAAACCGGGAUUAAUACCAGAUACGACCACUUUAGACAUCUUCUGUGGUGGAAAGAACUUCGGCUAGGGAUGAACUCGCGGCCUAUCAGCUUGUUGGUGAGGUAACGGCUCACCAAGGCGACGACGGGUAGCCGGCCUGAGAGGGCGACCGGCCACACUGGGACUGAGACACGGCCCAGACUCCUACGGGAGGCAGCAGUGGGGAAUAUUGCGCAAUGGGCGAAAGCCUGACGCAGCGACGCCGCGUGGGGAUGAAGGCCUUCGGGUUGUAAACCCCUUUCAGCAGGGACGAAGGCGAAAGUGACGGUACCUGCAGAAGAAGCGCCGGCUAACGUACGUGCCAGCAGCCGC